Molecule: long non-coding RNA, 1791 nt
Organism: Xenopus laevis (African clawed frog)
Lineage: Eukaryota; Metazoa; Chordata; Amphibia; Anura; Pipidae
Exons: 2
Source: RefSeq, a predicted model, not a curated record
UAUAUAUACUGUGUGUGUGUAUAUAUAUAUAUAUAUAUUGUACAUAUACUAUUUAUGGAACCAUAUAAAAGCAUAAGGAAGAUUUCUCAAUUUCUCAAUCACAAUUUUUAAGGAAAACUCGAAUGUUGGCUUAUUUUUUAAAAAAUUUGAAUAAAAAAUAAGUCAUUACAGUUGCGGAAAAAAACUCAAAAACCUUGUGAGUUUACAAGUUCAAAAAAAAAAAAACUCAGAAAAAAAAGGUUUGAAUAUUGUCCUGGACAACUCCCUAUGACUUCUACAUGAACUUGCAAGCUUUUAAAGUUUUACAUAUGACUUUUUCAGUUUUCUUUUGUGCCUAAUAAACACCAAACAUUGCAGUUUUUGAAAAUAUGAUUAGAAUUUGUGAGUUUUUGUGCCAAAAAAAUAUCAAAUCAUGGCAAAAAUUCACAUUCAAAUGUUGAUAAAUCACCUCUCUGGUGUAUUAAACCAGGAAUGUAUUAAAACAGAUUUUUAUUUGCAAGUUAGGUAUUUGAAUUGGUUUUAAAACUGACCAGCAGGUGGCGAUGUUGUAACAGAAUUCAUCCAUAUUAACAGUACAUGUAUCCCUUAAUAUCUCGGAACAAAAAAGCAAUAGAUAUAAAUUUCAAUAGUGCUUAGAGUAACAUCAGUCCCAUCAAUUUUACAUUGACAUAUUUUAAAGGUUUACUUACCCUUUCAAGACUGCACUACAUAGGCCUUACCAGGGACCUAUAGUGGUGUAACGCUAUAGUAAAAUGGAGCUACCUUAAAACCAGUAACUUUACUAACAAUGUCCCAGAUGAGACUCUCUUUCACAGAUGUGGGCCCUUUCUUACAGUGGAGGCAGGGUGUUGAUGAACUAUACCAUUGAGAGUUCAGACAGUAAAUGGGCACCAGUGGUUCUUAAACUAACCCACAGACGUUUCACUAGUCAUCCAACUGGCUUUCUCAAUUAUGACUGACCUGUACAAAAAAUAUUUAGGGUUAUAUACCCUGAAAUGUCUACAGGAAACCAACCCACACAAACCAGUACCUUCUAUUUGAAUCCCACCAUCCACUGGAUCACAAAUGGGGUUUGCACUGAGCAGACCCAAUACCCACCAGCACAGAGGCUCAGGCAAAGAGUUGACUUUUGAAGAGGCAAAAGAGGGGCCCUUAAAAUGUGUGGACAUCCAGACUGGGACUUAAAAUUGGGAGAAGGAGGAAAAAACAACAACAAAACUACAGGCGAAGGUGGAAAGCAGGGCAAACAAAAUAACUUGGUCCUCCCAAAUAUUUCUGGGGUGUCUGAAAAACUUAGAAGCAUCUUUACAUUUUUUAAGCCCAGCAUCACACCGAACAGGGUUCAAAAAAUUUAAAAUAGUGGGAGGCACAUGGAAAGCAAUGAAUAAAGAAGAGGAGAAGAAAAGUAGAAAAUGAUGGUCAAUAAAGAAAAAUGGACUGGAGUCAUUGGUGUCACUAGACAAAGCAAGAAAAGGUUGUAGGAAUAAGGUUCUUGGUGCAUAGCCAGAUAAGUAGAAAAUCUCACCAGUUGAUACGUGGGGUCUGGGUGCACAUUCCCCACACCUACAGCUCAAGGUGGAGGUAUCAGACCAAGGAAAGAAAAUCAGACACUCACAGAUCUUUAGAAUUUCGUUUCAAUGGCAGCAAGAUUUGCCCUAUUUUUCCUUUUUGAACUUGAAGGCCACCAAACCUUGUGUUACAUGCUAUGGCUGCCAUUUUUGGCAAACUGAUUUGGAGAGGGGCUACCUACUGAGCUCUAUUGUUACUGAAGAGGAGCCAAUGAAAUCUUGU